This 29-nucleotide non-coding RNA is filed under the name Rattus norvegicus (Norway rat). The record is from RNAcentral. Lineage: Eukaryota; Metazoa; Chordata; Mammalia; Rodentia; Muridae.
UACUCGCCUCACUUUUGAUUUUUGUGCCC